GAAAUUUAUGUGUUAGCGGUUAGCAUUUCCACAACUAACUACGAACACCGUUACAUUUGCCGCCAAAAGCUUGCCUCAGCAGCUCUGCUCUGAAAAACAGAAGCAAGAAAACCAAGAACAUCUUUUGACAGCUCUUUCUUCCAUGGCAUUCUUGCUCAUGCUUUUUCUCUUUAUCCUUUUUAUCUCUUGUUCUUAUGCUCUUGCAUCUUCUACUACUGCCUUUCUCAAUGCCUUGGACCUCCUCUCAUCCUCUGGAUAUCUCUCCAUGGCAUUAACCCUUCAAAUCACUUCCAAAUCUCUCAAUCUUGAUUCAUCGGCUGCAACAAUAUUUGCUCCAUGUGACCAUGCUUUUGUAAGAUCUGGCCAACCUUCCAUUCUUAAGCUCCAAUAUCACAUUUCACCAAUGAGACUCACCAGGGAUGGCCUCAAUGCUCUUCCUAUUGGCACAAGAAUACCCACGUUGUUGCCAAAUCAUUCCUUGGUUGUUACAUCUUCUUCUUGCGCCACUUCAAACACCAAGUUGUCCAUUAAUGGUGUUUCGAUCCAAGAAUUGGCCAUUCUUGAUAAUAGGUCUGUGGUAAUAUAUGGGAUCAAUCAUUUCUUUAAUGAUUCUUUCGAGAUUCCUCUUAAUUUGGCACCAGCAAUGGGUCCUAGUUCGAUGACUGGUUUUAGUAAUGAGUCCGAGAAUGGAUCAUCUGUGCUUGGCGUUGAUUCUUUUCGUCCCGCUUCAGAAUUUCUAGUUUCUAGAGGUUAUUCAAUAAUGGCCACAUUUCUUGAUUUGCAGCUGUUCGGGUUUAGGAAUGAAACCAGAUUGACAAUUUUCACUCCAACUGAUGAAGCAAUUGAAGCAUAUGCGAGGAAUAUUAAUGAUUACUCGUUCAUAUUUCGAGGACAUGUUGUUCCUGGAUUGUUUUCAUGGCAGGAUCUGGUUUGGUUAAAUGAUGGAACAAGUUUGCAAACUUUUGCUGGAGGGUUUGUGAUCAAUGUUACUAGGUCUGGUGAUGUGGUUGCUCCAAAUGGGGUUUUAGUUAUUUUUCCAGACAUGUACUACAGUGAGGGGCUGAUCAUGCAUGGCCUUAAUGGGUUGCUUAUGAAGCAGGAGAAGUUAGGAGAUUCAUUCUCAGCACUGAAUGGAGAAGAUAAUCUUAAUCAACCUGAUUAUGGUGAAAAUGGAGCACUAUGAAUGAGCCGGUUCUUGGAUGUAGCAUUUGUGCACUUCUCUCUUAACAUCUUGUUUACCUGCACCAUCAUGGGUACACGAACCAUUUUCUCUGAUGCAAGGAUGCUGUAAUUUUUGCAUUAAAUCUUGCUUUAACUCUUACUAGAUUCAGUCUUUGUAUUUCUGUGGUUAGCCACUUCAAAAUUCCAUCAACUUUUUGCUCAUUUGUCUAGCUGAUAUGAAAGUCCUUCAUUUAGUGUCUGCUGCUGCCGACAUCAAUUCAUUUCAAGCAGUCAAUAUGUUUGGCAGUAGAAUUCAUGUUUAUAUAUAGGUGUGGACAUGCGUGUGAGAACUCGAACUCUGAGGAUGGUAAGGAAAUCUGCUCUACAAGUUUAUGUGAAAUUUCACGGAGAUACUUUGGCCAAGACAGGUAUUGAUGAACAAGAAGGAUGUUUACAGUAAAAUGAAGCUCAUAAUUUCACAUCAGUGUCUGGUUUUUGAAGUAGAAGCUUGAGCAUCAUAUGAGGUUUCAAGAGAGAAAUAUUGGUCCCUAAAUCUGAUGCUUGUACUCCUACCUUCCUCGCUCUUUGAAACGCCGGAGAAACUAGCCUUCGCUAACUCCCUAAGCUUCUUCAACUCAUUCUUCCGCUCCAAUUUCAGUUCUUUCAACCGUUUUCCUUCCCCUGCUCUCUGCCCUGUAAGGGUUGCUCCUGCAGUUGGGGAACUUGUUAUUUGAGUAACGUCCAGGCCUGGUGGUGAACCAGGACUGAGCACAGGAACCACUGUUGCAGUCAUGGCACUGUAUGGUUCUGCAAUGGCUGCUGUUGUAUCUCUUCUUCCAGAUUCUAUUUCUGGACUUAGAGGAGGGAUGGCAGAUAGGCCUGUUUUUGGUUGAGAGGAACUAGGGAUGAUUCUUGACCAGUGCUUUCUUGGAAGGAAAGGCAACACAAGACCCUUAGCAGCAAACUUCAACCCAAGCCUGAAAGAAUUCUUCUUUGGCCGAGAGAGUCUUAAAAUGAAAUUUAUCAGGGCAUACCACUCAUUUAUAAUUUGAGCAAUAAAGGUUAGGAAGAGGAGAGCCAACAUUAUAUAUCCCUGAGUUCUUCCUUCAGUUGGAUUUAAACUAGUUAUAGCAAUCGAUAAACCAAAAAUACCUAUUUCACAUAACAGAGAAAUGCUCUCUACCACAUGGACUCCUCUUCUGAUGUAUGGUCUGAGAGCUAACAGGUAAAUGAACUGUAACAGUGUUAUUACCAAUGCAAAAAUGCUUUCCCUUGAUGUUUGAGAAGAGCGAGCUCCAGAUAUUAUUCCUAAGCUUACUCUUCUUAAAAGAUCAAGAACAAUGUAGAAAGAUCUAGCACACCCCAAGAUUCUUCUGGAUAAGGGUACUUCGAAUUCUUCAUAGCUCUCAUCUGAGCUGAGAGCUCUCAUUCUUCCUAUUCCACUCUGGCCACUUUCAAUCCACUUGGGUAUGGUUCUUGGGUCAUUCUGAUCAACAAAGACAAACAAAGGAGGACCCUUUCGAUCCUCAAAAAGAAUUCUAAACCGUGAAAGGAAAGUUGAUGGCGGCCCGUCCCUAAAAAACCAUUUUCCAGUUGUUGGCCUCCCAACAAAGAAGAACCACAGCUUUGUAUGCCAUGACUCUGUUAUAUCCACAUGCCUGAUUUCCUUGUACUGAGCAAAACCCCCAGGGAAGAUGGCAACUACAAGAAAAAGGCUAACUGAUAAAAUAAGUGCUGCUGGAAUUACCAGCAAAAAAGCGCCAGUGAUGAUUCCCCACAUCGUUUCCCCUCUCAUAACAAAUGCUGAUGACUGAGAAAUACAAGGUAAUGUGAGAAUUAGAAGCAGAAGCUCAAACCUGGGAACUGAAAGUAUCCCGUGAGCUGGUGCUUCUAUUCUCCAUCUCAGGAAAAGUAAUAUUAGAACAUGAAUUAUAAGUAAACUGCCUCCUCCCACCCCAAGCCAAAACAAGUUCAUCUCCAAGUCUUUCCACCUGUUGCAGAAACAUUAUCAGAAAUAUAAUUCAACCCAAUAAGUAAUUUACUAAUUAAAUUGCUAGUUGCGAACAGCAGUUGCUCUUUCCCAUUGCUUUUAUUGAUAUUACAGAUCUCUAGCCACGUGCUAAUGAAAGUGAUUUUUUUUUCCAAUGAAGUAAAAUCAGAAUAAUUCUGAUGUUACCCUUUGUAAUUCUCCAUUCUCUUCACAACAUUGCUUGCAGACAAUGGCUCUCCUCUCAAGAAAUAAGUGAAAUAUUCUCUCGAAUUGAGUGGUAACCCAUAUGGUGAACUUUUCAUGCUCAUAUUGUGUUGAUGAAGCCAAGCAAAGUUUGGGUCUAUAUCUGUAAGAAAAGGUAGUUGAUCUUGUACUUUGGAAAGAUCAGUUGUAUUUAGAUCAAACUGAGGAUUGACCCUUGUGUGAUAAGGAAAGCGAAGGGGUACUAUUUGGAGAUUUUCUUCAGCCAAAUAAAAAUGGUUAGGCCAUGUUGAUGUGCCAUCCUUUUUCCAUGGAAGCUUUUGACGAGGUAUGAGCCACCUCAGACCUUUUAUUGUCUCCGAAUAUUCAAUUGGAUGGUUAUCUGAGAACCAAUCUGAGAGAACAAACACUUGAAGAUGCCCAUACAAUCCACGCAGAUUCAUUGAUGGAUUGGAAGCAACAUUAUUUGUAUUUCCUGAGGCAAGAGUGCCCAUUGAGCCAAGAUUUGAUGAGGAAAGAGAAAUUGCAGCAGCUGCCAGUGAUGUUGCUAAUACUCCCACCGUCACAAAGGAGUGUAGUGCCACUGAUAUUGCAGGGGUUGAGUAGUGCUUCACUUGAAGUUGGUUGGAGGCCAAAUUUUGAUUUCCUGAAAUGUCAUUUACUUUCCCUGCAGGAAUGCUGAUGAAUGCCAUGUCCGGAGUUGUAGCAAGGACAGUGAAUGAGUACAGAGCUCUUGAAAGUUCCUGGAACCUAGAUGAAGAGAGUUAAGGCAGUUAAACCGCACUACGAGCUUUUUGUCUAGUCUUCUAUGUCUAGGCAUUAAGAAAUUAUAAGACUACUAUUGGCAGAUGAAAUCUAACAUAAUCAAUCAUAUAACGAAAUGAUGACUUAGUGUAAUUGCCAUUAUGUUUUUAUUUAAUUGCAAAAUAAAAAUGUAAUUUAUCUAAUCUAAUAUGAUGAUAUUAUUUUAUUUUAUAUUUAGUUUAUUUGUUGUGGUACUAAUAAGCGAGUGAAAAUGGCUAGUUUCAGUUACUAACCAGCUUCGAGUCAAAACUAACAAUUUCAAUUAGUGAAACAGAAGGCCCAAAAUUAGAUGGCAGAGAAUCAAUCGCAACUUAAUUACACAGCCUAAUGUGUAUGCUUGUGAACUGCAGUAAGAACAGCUUUGAGAGCCACAUAUGCACCUGCCUUGUAAGUUUCCCUCCUUCCACUUCUACCAUGGAAGCCUCAAAGCCAAAAACUGGCUUUGUGAACUCAACUAUCACAUUGAUGUUGGAUGCCUUUGUCACAUUUGGUGAACUGGUACUUAGCCCUACCUGAGGCUUUGUCGAAUCUUGAGGAGCACAUAUGAAUUAGUCAAGCUAUUAAACAGAAUAAAUGGGAGAAACUAAUCUGGAGAUCACAAAGCAUACCAUAGAGUACUGUAAGCGCUGCAACAGGUGAGACAGAAGUGCCUGUCCUGCCAAUUACUAACCCAGCUUCCAGUUCAACAGUGAGGGUUUCAGUCUUUGUUACGUUCCUAAGCUACAAUUUUGAAAUCUAUUAUCAUUAAAAUAACAACCUGAUUUUCAAGUAUUUCACUGGCAGCUAUCAGUAAAGGUGCAGUUCCGAUGCCAAUAUCAUUCAAGUUUAAGUAUAGGCUGCUUACCUGAAAAACAAAUUUACGAUUCCCAUGAUUUCUGAUCGGUGAUAUAUUACCAUAAUUCACAUGCAAGGCAUUGAGAAGUUCUUCUGUUGAAUUCACAAUAGGAAUGCUGAAAUCCAAGAAAAUUUUUAAGUCCUCCAUUUUGUUAGUUGCCAUAACAGUUCUUGGGAUUCCAUUGAUCUCCAAUACAUAUGAUGGAACUGGCAUCCAUAAAUCUACCAGCACUGGUCUUCUAUCAAAAUGAAUAACAGUAAUGGAACCAUUUGUCCUUUUAAAAGUGUUUCCAGCCUUGUCUGUACAAAAAUUAUCUGCCAUUCUAACAAUUACUCGCCCAUUUAUACUCUCCAACGAAAGAAUUAUGUCAAGUCUAUAUUCUAUGUUAGGUUUGACCGUGUGAAGUGAAGAAGCUUGAACAUAAGCUGGACCCUGUAAUAAUACAUCACAAUUUGAUGAGUUUACACAUUUGAAGCCACCCAUUCCAGUGCAAGCUUCACUGAAUGUAACAUCAAUGGUUACUUUUACAGCAUUUGUGUAAUUCUUUUCGCUAAAUAUAGUUGCAGUUGGUGGAACUGUAUCAAUGAACCAGGAAUAAGAAGAAGAGUUUUUCUCUCCAUUAUGAGUUGUGACCUUGAGAAGAAAACUGUGCUUGUGAUUCACAGUUAAGUUCUUCAAUACUAUAGUAUCAGCUGGACAUGAUCUCAAAGUAUAGCCAUCAAGCUCACAGGAAAUGGAACACCCAUUCUUCUUACAAGCAUUGGUCCCAUCUAGCCUCUGUACUGAGUAUCCGAAAACAGCAUCAGUGAACCUUGAGUGUUUUGGAGGAGCUUUGUGGAAGUGAAUGAUAACAGUUGACUCAGCUGAGUCUAAUGCACCCACUGCGAAUGCUGCAACACAAAAAACUAGUUUAAAAAGCACUAGCAAAACCAUUUCAGGAGCUGCAUGUACUUCACAUUUGAGCAAAAGUAAAAAAAAUCAAAGAGGAGAAAGAAGGUAAGUAGAUAAGCUUUUGUUUGCAGAGAGAAAAAAAAAAUGAGAGCAGUAGGUGAGAGGAGAGGCAGCAAACGUCUAAUGUUCUUUAUGGAUUUAUGUUG
RNAcentral lists this unclassified non-coding RNA (6088 nucleotides) under Hevea brasiliensis (rubber tree). Lineage: Eukaryota; Viridiplantae; Streptophyta; Magnoliopsida; Malpighiales; Euphorbiaceae. The record is from RNAcentral.